AUGAAGGAGCUGAAAGCAACCAAGAUCAUACAAUGCGACGCAACAUACGUCAACCUGGGCGAUCUUGCUGAGUCCAUGAGGCCUACUGGUAAAAUGUCAAAGAAUGUAGUUGCCUGUGGGAUUGACUUCAUCAACAGCCAUGUGGACAUUUCUCCCGACAAGACGAUCAUGCAGUACAACGUGGCCUGCAAAAUCUGGGAUGGUGACUUCCACCAUAAAAUCCCGAGGAAGCAUUUUGCCGCGCAUGGUGAUUUUAAGCUCACAAUGAAGAAAUACGUCAUGUUCCUCAUGUUCCAGGAGCUUGCACCAGAAGACCCAGAUGACAAGUGUGGUCACCACUACGCCAUUUUCCUUGACCUGAAGAACCAACGUUUCGAGGUGCUUGAUUCAAUCCGUUCAGGAGCUGAUGAAGACCUUACUACUCAUGUUGAAUUCUUUAUCAACAACCUAAAGGAGACCUGGAACCGUCAUUAUGAAAACUCAAAGGUCUAG
This 492-nucleotide ribosomal RNA is filed under the name Triticum aestivum (bread wheat). RNAcentral describes it as "partial small subunit ribosomal RNA". The record is from RNAcentral. Lineage: Eukaryota; Viridiplantae; Streptophyta; Magnoliopsida; Poales; Poaceae.